This is a long non-coding RNA of Solenopsis invicta (red fire ant), 511 nucleotides long. RefSeq lists it as uncharacterized. The record is from RefSeq and is a predicted model, not a curated record. The transcript is spliced from 2 exons. NCBI's taxonomy places the organism in Eukaryota, Metazoa, Arthropoda, Insecta, Hymenoptera, Formicidae.
AUCGGCUAGUCGCUGGUUGACCGUGUACCAGUAAGCGUGUUUGUAAUAGAGUGAAAAAGCGCGGUUAGGAUUGCUGACGCAAUCCUCCUUACUUUUUGUGCAAUCAUAUCCUGUAUUCCUAUUUAAGCCUUUUGUUCCCCAUACAACUUUCUGCAAUGGCCAAAUCGUCCCUGCCCUAAAUUCACUGGGGACGGGUGCCAAUUUAAAAAGAAGAAGAAGAAGAAGACAUAAAUGUAUCGUAGUCCAUAAACGUAAAAACAAUUAAGAAUAAAACGUGGACCCUAGAAUCGGACCCCAGGCAUACCUGGCACAAACUGUACGGGAGUUUCGAAGCGUUAUAGGAAAAAGGCCGCUGUGGCCGCUCUCAGGUUCCUCUCUGCCUCUCUGCUCUACUAACCCAGAAGAAGACUAUCUUGCAAUAGAGAUGUCGAAUGCGAAUUGUUAUACAAAUUUAUAAAUUAAACAAUAUAUAAGAUUAAAUAAAUUAAAUCUUGAUUUUUUGUUUCUUCCA